UACGUAGGUGGCGAGCGUUAUCCGGAAUGAUUGGGCGUAAAGGGUGCGUAGGCGGCCUGCUAAGUCUGGAGUGAAAGGUACCGGCUCAACUGGUACAGGCUCUGGAAACUGGCGGGCUAGAGAGCAGGAGAGGGCGGUGGAACUCCAUGUGUAGCGGUAAAAUGCGUAGAUAUAUGGAAGAACACCAGUGGCGAAAGCGGCUCUCUGGCCUGUAACUGACACUGAGGCUCGAAAGCGUGGGGAGCAAACAGG
Molecule: ribosomal RNA, 252 nt
Filed under: uncultured bacterium
Lineage: Bacteria
Description: partial 16S ribosomal RNA
Rfam family: Bacterial small subunit ribosomal RNA
Source: RNAcentral